Saccostrea echinata is the source of this 246-nucleotide long non-coding RNA. RefSeq lists it as uncharacterized. The transcript is spliced from 3 exons. Lineage: Eukaryota; Metazoa; Mollusca; Bivalvia; Ostreida; Ostreidae. The record is from RefSeq and is a predicted model, not a curated record.
UGUUUUUUAGGCAUCAUAUCCGGACUUUUCUGGUGUAAACAACGACAGUUGCGUCAGCAGAACAUUGAAGAAAAGCUGAUUAGUCAUGGAGGAAGAAGAUCCCUCUCAAGAAAGUAUUGCAGUGAUGAAGUCAGAUGAGAUGACAGGUUGUGUGAUUUGAAGAUGGACUUCUGCAACAAAGUAAACACUCCUCUACCUUUUUCCAUACAAAAGUAGAGAGAUUGAAACAUUUGGUAAAAGUACAAA